Molecule: ribosomal RNA, 497 nt
Filed under: uncultured bacterium
Lineage: Bacteria
Description: partial 16S ribosomal RNA
Rfam family: Bacterial small subunit ribosomal RNA
Source: RNAcentral
GAUGAACGCUGGCGGCGUGCCUAAUACAUGCCAGUCGAGCGAACAGACGAGGAGCUUGCUCCUCUGACGUUAGCGGCGGACGGGUGAGUAACACGUGGAUAACCUACCUAUAAGACUGGGAUAACUUCGGGAAACCGGAGCUAAUACCGGAUAAUAUAUUGAACCGCAUGGUUCAAUAGUGAAAGACGGUUUUGCUGUCACUUAUAGAUGGAUCCGCGCCGCAUUAGCUAGUUGGUAAGGUAACGGCUUACCAAGGCAACGAUGCGUAGCCGACCUGAGAGGGUGAUCGGCCACACCGGAACUGAGGCACGGUCCAGACUCCUACGGGAGGCAGCAGUAGGGAAUCUUCCGCAAUGGGCGAAAGCUUGACGGAACAACGCCGCGUGAGUGAUGAAGGUCUUCGGAUCGUAAAACUCUGUUAUUAGGGAAGAACAAAUGUGUAAGUAACUAUGCACGUCUUGACGGUACCUAAUCAGAAAGCCACGGCUAACUACGUG